GAAACUUUUCUGUUCCGGUCAAUUCAGAAGAUAAUCCAAUGGUUUAUGCAAAUAGAUUGAAACGCCCUUGACCUGUAUCUGUACAGUUUGUUUGGAAAGAAUGAAUAAGCUCCAUUGCAACAUAUGAAAGGAAAUCACGUCAAAUGCCAUCAGUAUAAACCCAACAAGCUCAGAGAGCAAGAGAAAAACCCGACAUGUCAACAAUGCCUUCAUCGGAAAUGUUACAACACUCCUGUUAUCGUCUCUCCCUUAGCAACGCCCUAUGGGGGAAAAACAAUGAAGGAUCUUAUAGCACCUUAAGGAUGAAUGAGUUGUGUUUGGCAUAAACUUCCACGGAGCACUAGGCCACAAUCAGAAAUCAGUCUGCAUAAUCAGAUGCCAAUAAAACUUGUAGGUCUCUAAACAAAACAAAAUAUUUGGUUAUUUUUCCAAGGAGGACAUUUAUCUGUUUACAGUCACUCUGAUAUUUAUAUCUACCAAUUUAUGAUCAGUUUUAAGGUCAUAACAAGUGCACUAAUAUGGUUAAGAGAAAACACAAAUAAAAAUAAUAAUUCUGUUGUCCAAAUAUUGUGAUGGCAC
Molecule: non-coding RNA, 579 nt
Organism: Pogona vitticeps (central bearded dragon)
Lineage: Eukaryota; Metazoa; Chordata; Lepidosauria; Squamata; Agamidae
Source: RefSeq, a predicted model, not a curated record